GAUGAACGCUGGCGGCGUGCCUAAUACAUGCAAGUCGAGCGAACAGACGAGGAGCUUGCUCCUCUGACGUUAGCGGCGGACGGGUGAGUAACACGUGGAUAACCUACCUAUAAGACUGGGAUAACUUCGGGAAACCGGAGCUAAUACCGGAUAAUAUAUUGAGCCGCAUGGUUCAAUAGUGAAAGACGGUUUUGCUGUCACUUAUAGAUGGAUCCGCGCCGCAUUAGCUAGUUGGUAAGGUAACGGCUUACCAAGGCAACGAUGCGUAGCCGACCUGAGAGGGUGAUCGGCCACACUGGAACUGAGACACGGUCCAGACUCCUACGGGAGGCAGCAGUAGGGAAUCUUCCGCAAUGGGCGAAAGCCUGACGGAGCAACGCCGCGUGAGUGAUGAAGGUCUUCGGAUCGUAAAACUCUGUUAUUAGGGAAGAACAAAUGUGUAAGUAACUAUGCACGUCUUGACGGUACCUAAUCAGAAAGCCACGGCUAACUACGCG
RNAcentral lists this ribosomal RNA (497 nucleotides) under uncultured bacterium. RNAcentral describes it as "partial 16S ribosomal RNA". It matches the Rfam family "Bacterial small subunit ribosomal RNA", at positions 28 to 507 of the family's 1533-position model. The record is from RNAcentral.